RNAcentral lists this long non-coding RNA (258 nucleotides) under Elaeis guineensis (African oil palm). Its description in RNAcentral is "long non-coding RNA (EGUI_LNC001761)". The record is from RNAcentral. Lineage: Eukaryota; Viridiplantae; Streptophyta; Magnoliopsida; Arecales; Arecaceae.
GCCGCCGACUUCCUAUGACCGAUUAGGAGCCGAAGAUGCCAAUGUCGAGCCGAGUGUGGGUCAUGGUUUGCCCACGUCAACGAGUCAGGUGUUCGCCAUGUCAUCGGAGAGUGAAAUGUCAUCAGGUGGACCAAAUAUAGUUCAACACUUAUCCCUGCUUUCUGGUCCAAAGUGGUUACUUUAGGCUACAGAAGUAGUAGCCCAUAAGAUAAGAGUUUUCAAUGCUUGAUCGAGCGGAGAAAUCCAAAUUGCUUAUCC